AUCUAUCUGACGAGUCCCAAAAAGGACAAAACACAUGUCCUGGAU
Molecule: non-coding RNA, 45 nt
Filed under: Schistosoma mansoni
Lineage: Eukaryota; Metazoa; Platyhelminthes; Trematoda; Strigeidida; Schistosomatidae
Source: RNAcentral